GACGAACGCUGGCGGCGUGCUUAACACAUGCAAGUCGUACGGUAAGGCCCUUUCGGGGGUACACGAGUGGCGAACGGGUGAGUAAUACGUGAGUAACCUGCCCACAACUUUGGGAUAACGCUAGGAAACUGGUGCUAAUACUGGAUAUGUGCUCCUGCUGCAUGGUGGGGGUUGGAAAGCUCCGGCGGUUGUGGAUGGACUCGCGGCCUAUCAGCUUGUUGGUGGGGUAGUGGCCUACCAAGGCGGCGACGGGUAGCCGGCCUGAGAGGGUGACCGGCCACAUUGGGACUGAGAUACGGCCCAGACUCCUACGGGAGGCAGCAGUGGGGAAUAUUGCACAAUGGGCGCAAGCCUGAUGCAGCAACGCCGCGUGCGGGAUGACGGCCUUCGGGUUGUAAACCGCUUUCAGCAGGGACGAAGCUUUUUGUGACGGUACCUGCAGAAGAAGCACCGGCUAACUACGUG
RNAcentral lists this ribosomal RNA (465 nucleotides) under uncultured bacterium. Its description in RNAcentral is "partial 16S ribosomal RNA". It matches the Rfam family "Bacterial small subunit ribosomal RNA", at positions 28 to 507 of the family's 1533-position model. The record is from RNAcentral.